Long non-coding RNA from Symphalangus syndactylus (siamang), 7911 nucleotides. RefSeq lists it as uncharacterized. The record is from RefSeq and is a predicted model, not a curated record. NCBI's taxonomy places the organism in Eukaryota, Metazoa, Chordata, Mammalia, Primates, Hylobatidae.
GCAAUGCUCAUAUACUCCAGCCCCAUAUGCGCUGGAUGUAGUGUGCCCAGGAAAAGGCACAAGCCACCUUAGGAUGGAAAGGACCUGGUGCAUGGCAGAUUCUCUGUGAAUGAGUUUCCCUUCUGUCUCUAUCCAUUCCAAAACAUUCUCUACGAGAAGCACAAAGAAAAGGGCAAAAAGACAGUCAUGAGGACAAUCACAAGGACAAGGCAUCUUGGGGAUCCCUCCCAGCCUCAAGAUCCUGAAUGAUUUCGGACUACAUUUUUAACAGGGUGAACCAGCACCACUGCUUAAUGCUUCCAGCCAUGUUGUGAAUCUCUGCUGAGUUAGGGAUGAAGUGGGAGACUCUGAUGGUGAUGACUCUCACUCACAUGAUCAUGCCUGGGGAGGUGGUGGCAGCUGUGGUCUGUGUUACCUUACUCUAAACAGAGGCAGAGCAAAGAUAGAGAUCUUGUGGUUGACUCAAGGGCCUGGGCUGAGCUAUACACAGGGCCCCACAGGACGCCCAGAAUAGGGAGGGAAGCAUGGUCCAGCAGGCCCACCAGAAGGGAACCCUGACUCCUCCUCCCCUUCUCUUUGAGUUCCUGAGAAGAGAUAAAGAGAAAAAAACAAAAGCGAACCUGGGGCUGAGGCAGAAGGAUGAGCACACUGGCUAGCAUUUCCUGAGUAUUCCCUCUACACUAAAAGAUGAACACAACUGACCUCAUUUAACUUUUGGAGCAACCCUGCAAGGCCCAUGGUGGUGUGGGAGCAGGCUGCCCCAGGGCAUGGACAGAAAGGUUGGAACCUGUGUCACGGAGCAGGAGCAGAGUGAGGUGUGUGCCUCCUUACCGCCUUGGUGCACUGGACAUCCUUCCCCAGCAGCCAGUUGAGCUCCAGGUUGCCCUCGCCCUGGUAGCAGGACUGCAGGCGCUCCUUGAUCUGCAAGUUGAUGGCCCGGAUAGGGAAGGCACACAGGGCAGAGUCAUCGGGCGGGUGGUGAUACUGCUUCUGCCCUUUGGAGAAGAUGGCGAAGAGUACAUCGUCCUGGCUGGUGAUAUUGAAGGCCUGGGUCAGUGAGUCCCCAGGCUUGGCCAGGUAAGCAGCCUGCAGGAGGCGGUAUUCCACCCCGGCCCGGGUACAGCCAAAGGGCAGGGACACAUAUGAAUGGAACUUGGGGUCAUCCUUGCAGAGCCGCACGAUGCGUGAGGUGUAGAAGAGGUCUCCAGCGGAGUUGAUGGCCACACCCUCGGGGGUCUCGGGCUGGACAGUGAGAAAGUAGACAAAGCCCCCACUAGCAAAGCCGUAGAUGUAGAAGAUGUCAAAGUGGGAGACCAGAGCCAGGGUGUCCGAAGGGAUCUUGAUGAGAGAGGAGACAAAAUCGCUGUGUAGCUCAUAGUCAAGCAUGGCUGAGGACUCAGGGUCUCGGGGCAGCUUCCGGCUGGACAGGGUCGGGAAGUAAUCCUGCUUCCCAUCCACAGCCGUGCCGAUGAAGAGCUUGCCGUCCUCACCCUCGGAGCGCACAAUCACCCCGUACAUGGUGCCCGUCUUGUUGACGCUGGACAGGUAGUGCUCCUUCUUGUGGGACGGCUCCACCAGGAUGAAGAGGUCAUCCAGCCGCAGCAGCUUGCAGACCCCCUGGUAGAGGCUCCCACAGGCCAGCAGGCGGUUCUCAGAGUAGUCAAUGAUGAGCAGCUUGUUGACAUUGUUGGUGAGGGUGAGCACUUCGCUGCAGGGCUGCACGAUGAGGGGCGGGUAACAAGACUUGUUGUCCUCUUCUGGCCCUGUCUUAUGAGCUACCUGGAUGGUCAGGUUGCCCGUCAGCUUGUAGACCCGGUUGAUGGCCCCCACAUAGACGGCCCCCGUCCCUCGGUGGACGGUCAAGUGGUUAAAGGUCCAGUCACGAUUCUCAGAGUGGAAGGUGCUGAACUGAGGCAUACCGGCUGCUGGGGGGGCCAGCAGCACCCAGACCACUGAGAGCAGGACCACAGAGCGGCUGUCCACCUCCGGCGCCCGGGGCCAGGGCCGCCUCUGUUCCAUGCUGAGAGGGGCGGCGGUGAGGAGACGGCUCCUGUGUGUGCUCAUCUGCUCCACCUUCCCCGGUCGGCCCUCACAUGAUUCUGCAAAACACAAGGCAGAGUGGUCAGACCAAAAAUAAGUUCCGGGAGGAGCAAAGAGGCUGGCCUGACCCAGGGUCCCCAUCCUGGUUUAGCUCUGUGAAUCUCUUCCUUCUGAAUUUUGGUUUUUCUAUUUUUAACAUACUUUCUCCCUCUUAGGAAUGUUCAGGGAAUCCUGUUAUCUAUUUUGGUCUCUAGCCUUUACACUGUAAAAUACUUGCUUUUUAAAAAAUUUUAUUUUACAAAGCGUCUCUAUUUCUGGCCUCUUAAGCCAUCGUUUUCAUCUCUCAGAGAGGUUAAAAGGCUGUUGAAGUUCACCCAGCCAGUCAAUCCGGUGUCAGGACUAAACCCAGUCUUCCCCACCCAACCGGCACAUCUUAUCCCAGUCUAGUGGAAAUCGCUCCUGUUUUUUGAAAGCUUGUUAGGCAGGCACCCCCCAACCCCCCACCCAAGCUCUCCAGGUCAACUGCUCCCAGAGUCUGAUAUUGCACACAAAAUUCCUUCCUAUUUUAGACUUCCAUCACCUCACUCCACUGCAACUCUUUACUUUCUCAUGCUCUGUUAUCCACAGAGAGGCGAGGUGCUGGUCACUCUGAGUGAGAGUGCCCCUCUCUGCCCUCAGCCCUUUCUUCUCCAGCAAGAAGAACCCCUGAUCACUAGCUGUUAGAACAGCUGUUAGAACUUGUUAGGAAAGGGAAAAAUGUUGUAGCCAACAAGACUGGGAUUCCCACAUGUGCCAUUCCAGAGCCUGAAAAGCCCUCGGGAGACAGGCAGGUCUCCUGAGAUCCCCCCAUCCUUCUCAAGGUGGACACCCAGCCGCUGCCAGGCAGCCAGGUCCUCAGGAAAUUGCUUCAACCUCUGCCUCUCUGCAGGCAGAGCACAUGGGGAGCCAGGACACACAGAGAACCAGUCUCCUUGCUAGGGGUUACUGGCUGGCUGAGUCCAGCUUCAGCCACCUGGGGCAGGGGUACCAGGUUUGGGAGAAUGUGGGGAGCAGCAAACGGUGGUGAGGUGAGGUUCAGUCUCAUUUCAGGCACUGCUGGGGCCUCCUGACUGUUUCAGCAUCUAUGAAAUCACCCGUGGGCCUCAGUGGGCCAUGCUUGAAGCCCAGUCUGUAGCCCUGACUCCUUUACUCUUCCCCCUGCCUCCCGACUCCCAGGCUUUAAGGCUCCUCUGCUUCCACAGCCUUGGUGCUUACUCUUCCUUGUUCCAAGGAAGCUGCCCAGAGGGGCAAGGUGGGGCUCCUGAGGACAGCCUGUAGCCAGGGGCAGGCUGGGCCAGGGGCAGGAAGUCAGAGAGCAGAGCCUGGAUGUCAGAGAGCAGGACCUGGAGGUCAGAGAGCAGGGCCUGUUCCAUCACUGUCAUGGUACUGCCUGGACGUAUGGAGAGGAACAGUGGGAAGUGACUGUGGCACCAGGAGGAGAAGGCAGCGAGCUGUCCCGCAGGGAAAGCUUUUCUCAGCGGGACAGAUCAUCCAGCAACCUUCUCAGGCAAGUCCAGACAGAACUCUGGGCACAUAAGGUGGCAGGGAUGGAAACACCCGAAGGAUGGAGAGUUUGCUCCAAGGCAGCUUAGGAGAGGCCUUUGUCCCUCAACUCCCCAUUCCGGCUGGAUUGGGUUAUAAUUAGAACAGACACCACUUAGAGAAUCCCCUAGAGUUUCUUUAGGAACGACCCUUCCUCUUGUUCAGUUCUGCAUCCUCGGCCUGGCAGCCACCAUGGUGCCACAGUAGGUCCCACCUAACUCCCUCCUCCAACUCGACUUCCCCAGGGUGUUCGGGGUGACUCAUGAGGCCCUGGGCUUCCUUGGAAAGAGGAAGGCAACACCGGCAUGAGACCCAGGCUGACCUCAGCUACUCCGACACAGCCCUUCCGGCCCCAGGCGCACACCGGCAAAGCCUCCCAACAGACAGAGCUUUCAGUUUGGAAACCAGAGGUUAUUUUUAGCUAUGUCCUGAGGCCGGUAGCAGGACGUGAAUUCCUGAAGAGGAGCUGUGGAAAGGAAAUAACAGAAUCCUUAAAUUCUCCAGCUGGACGGGGAAUUGCAAGAGGCCAUUCUCUGCCCCUGUCUCUGGGAAGAAAAUCUCCUUGGAUUCCAGGUGGAGAGUGGUUCCCUCUUGAGGAGCCGCGAGGGGAGGAAGGGGGUCCUGGCAGCAGAGAUAACAUGGAAGGACAUGGUAUGCAGUUAAGAUCAGCCACCUCACCUCCCUGCUUGGCAUCCUCCCAAGACACAGUUUGAGUAGUGAGUGGCUUUUGUUGUUGUUAGACAGAAUUUGGGAACAAAUUUGGGAUUUAGGGCAAGUCUCAUGUCCUUUUCUGGUAGAAUGGGAAUAACUACAGCAUGUACCUUUCAAGGUGUCAUGACAGUAAAUGAGACAAUAUAGAGACCAACCUCUUAGCAUGGUUGCAGGCACACAGUGAGCACUUAUGUUAGUUUUUGUUAUUAUUAGUAUUAUUAUGAUUGAGACAGUGUCUUGCUGUGUCGCCCAGGCUGGAGUACAGUGGCACGAUCGCAGCUCAUUGAGACCUCCGCCUCCCUGGUUCAAGAGAUUCCCCUGCCUCAGCCUCCAGAGUAGAUGGGACUACAGGCACGUGCCACCACACCUGGCUAAUUUUUUUUUUUUUUUGUAUUUUUAGUAGAGACAGGGUUUCACCAUGUUGGCCACACUGCUCUCAAUCUCCUGACCUCGUGAUCCACCCGCCUUGGCUUCCUAAAGUGCUGGGAUUACAGGUGUGAGUCACUGCACCUGGCCUGUUAUUAUCUUUGAAGACUCCACAGGAGAUGGCACUUCAGAAAUCCUGCCACAGCUCUUGACUUCUCUUUUUGCUUAUAUUCUUCCUUUCCCACCCACAAUGAGAUGAACAUUGUGGGUGUGCCUUUGAUCCCUAGGCCUCCCCGACCCAGUGACAGAGCUCAGUCUGGGAAGCAUGUGGCAAGGGAAAAAAAUAGAUCCAAGGUGAUCUUCUCUGUCAUACUACUGCACAAGUCCCAAUAUAGCCUCUCCGCAGACUGCAGGAAGGCUGGUGGAAACACAGGAUCCUGAGAGUUAGACUGAAAAUGAGAAAACUGUCCUGAUGUCUAGAAGGCAUGAGGUCACAGGGCAGGAAGAAAGGUGGGAGACUCAGGAACCCUGGGUUCCCAUUCUGCCUGUGUGACUCAUGAAUUAUAGUGUCACUCACUUUAGACCAGUCUAGCAUUUCCAUGAGCCUAUUUCUUGAUCUUAAAACAAAAGGUAUUUGAAUUAGUCAACCUAUAAGAUUUCCUUUUUCAGAUAAAAUGCUACCUCGAAGCUUAGUUCCUUCAGUUCCUGGAGUCUGUGAUUCCAGUAGCAGCUGAGGUUUUUUGCUCCAACCUGGAGAGGCUGAUUAGGCCAGGAGCUUUUUUUUUUUUUUUUUUUUUUUUUUCAGGCCAGUAGUUCUAAACAGACCACUCCAGCUGGGCUGUUUUCCUCUCACCCUCAUGCAGCAUUUGCUUUGGGACAGGCCACUCCUGGUAACCAGCCAAGUGAAUUCAUCUCACAGGACUCAGGGACCGCCCACCUGGGAGCAGCUGUCAUUGGACACUGGAGUCAAGAGGAGGCACAGUCUCCUGCAGUGAGGAGAGGUUUGCACCCCACCUUGGGAGUGUGGCCUUCAUAAAGACAGCUGACUUCAAGGGCACGUUGAGAGCUUUCAUCUUUCUAUGCCAAAUUGAUGUGACUAAGUGGCUGUUCCAAGCAGAGCCCAGUGGGCAAAGAUCAGACCUCCUAUCCACAUUCUGAGUAAGGAGGGACGGAGCCCACCUUUGUGGCUCUGGUGAGAGGCAGUGUGAUAUAACAGUUAAAUGCAUGAGCUCUGAACUUAGGUGCCUGGAUGCAAAUGGAGCCUAUAGCUGCGUACACUUGGUCAAGGUACUUAGCCGUUCUAUUCUAUCUAACUAUCUAUAUAAAAUAGGUUUAGUACUAGUAGCUACGUCGUAGGAUUAUUACAAUGAAAUCAGCUAAUACAUAUAAAGCACUUAGAACAGUUCAUGGCCAUCUUAAGUGUUUAAGAUACAUUAGCCUUUGUUAUUAGCAAUUUGUUUGUCAUUAUUUCUAGCUCCACACCUCCAUCCAUCCCAUCAUCUGUCUUAGGAUGAAUUUCCCAUCCUCAGUUUGGUAGACACUGGUAAACAAACAUGCAUAUGACUUUGCAUACCUAGUACGACUUCCUCCUAUCCCCAAUUUUCUGCUAGUGUCAACCUCAGGGGUUUUCUCUUAAUAAUGAUGCUUUCGUCUUUCUGUCGCAUCCCUCUCUGUCUAGUGCAUGAAGUCACUUGUUACAUGCAUUCUUAAGAGCCAAAACUUGUCUAGUCUCUGUUCUACCAGUUUCCCUCUCUCCUACUCCAAGUCUCAAAGCAGGUAUGCUGCUCCGGGACUCUUGCCUAAACAACAGACUCUCCCAGGACAUGUAACUUGGAGCGUUCCUGAUGCCAAGGAGAGGCCAUGCUUGCCUCUUUGGGAAGCAAGUGCCACUGAAUAUUUUAUGUGGAGGGCCUGAUGACACCAUCUCCCCGAUCAGGAUUCAAGAGACUUUGUGCGGUUUUGUGAAGCGAGGUGACUAUACCUUGCCCCACAGUGAAGAAGGAAGGUGAGAGGAGAGAGGGGAGGAAAACAGGUCUCUGCCUGCAUGCACCCUUGGCAGCCUUCUCUUAGAAGGUGACACAGAUGACACUGUGGCCCCUCCAGGAGGUGUCAAGACAAAUUUGGGUGACAAUUUCUACCCAGUCACCCUCUCUUACUAUGAGAAGAUGGAUCUCCUGCUUAUCUUCAUAUAUGCGAUUCCUUUCACAGGUGGGAUAAACUACAUCCACACUCCAAUAACCAAGGAGUAAGAGAUGGAAAUUUGGGGAGGCUCUCACAAUCCCCAUCAGUAAUAAGGAAAGAACCCAUACUCCAGGGGGUGAGGCAGCAGGGGCUGUGAGAGGGGAGCCGUGUGCGGCUCUCAGCUUUGGACAGGGCCCUUGGAUCUUACAUAUGUGCGUGACAGUGAGGGACCCUCCAUCUCUGCAAUGGUGGACAGAGGCAGGGUAAUGGGACACAAGUGCAGGGGCUGGGUACUAGCAAGAAAGUGAGGGAUUGAGUUAAAGGCUGAAUGGUGUCCCCUGAAAAUUCCUGUGUUGAAGCCUAACCCUAAGUACCUCAGAAUGUGUUCUUAUUUGAGACGGUGUCUUUUGUUACUGUUGUUUUGGUUUGGUUUUUUUGAGACGGGGUCUCUCUCUGUCUCCCAGGCUGGAGUGCAGUGGUGUGAUCUCAGCUCCUUGCAGCCUCCACCUCCUGGACUCAAACUAUCCUCUCAAAUCAGCCUUAGGAACCACAGGGAUCUGUGGGGCCACGGGCACAUGCCUAUGCCUGGCUAAUUUUUCAUUUUUUUUUGUAGAGAUGAGGUUUCACGAUGCUGGCCAGGCUGGUCUUGAACUCCUGGGCUCAAGUGAUCCUCCAGCCUUGGCCUCCCAAAGUGCUGGGAUUACAGGCAUGAGCCAUGGUGCCUGUCCCUGAGACAGGGUCUCUACAGAGGUAAUCCGGUUAAGAUGAGGUCACUAGGGUAGGCUCUAAUUCAGUAUGACCUGGUGUCCUUAUAAAAAGGGGGAAAUGUGGAGCCUGAGACAGACACCCACAGAGGCCAGGUGAUGUAAAGAGACAUCCACAUCCUCAUCUGACCAUCUACAAGCUCAGAAGAGAGGUCUGGAACAGCAACUUCCCUCACAGCCGUCAGAAGGAAUCAACUCUGCCCACAUCCUCAUCUUGGACUUCCCAGUUUCUGAACUUGGAGAAAAUAAAUUUCUGUUGUUUAAGCCA